CAAUUCAAUAUAAUCUGAUUUUAUAUAAAUUAUUUUUUUAUAUUUAUUUUGUUAUUUUUGUUGGAAUUAAUUUAUAGUCUUUGUAGCAUUUUGUAGAUUUGAUUUUUUAUAUUAUAGUUUAUUUUUACUGUAUGGGAUAUUUUUUAAUUAAUAGAAGUUAAUUUUUAUUGUACCUUGUGUAUCAGGGUUUAUUAAAUUAUAUUAUAUAUUUUUUAUUUCCCGAUUUUAAAGGAUUUAAAUAAUUAUUUUAUUUAUUGUUUUAUAAAUAUUAAUAAUAUUUAUUUGGUAGUGAUAUGUUAUUCGACUUUAAAGGUAUCUGGUUUUUCAAGAAAUGAAUUUAAUUCAUAUAUUUAUUAUUAUAUUUCUAUUUUUAUAGUUUAAUAUUUUAUUAAUAUAAAUAUUAUGGGGGAUAAGCUCUUUAUUAUAUUCUUAUAAUUAUUAUUAUUUGUAAUUUUUGUUGGUUUUAUAAUAACUAUCAAUUUAAGUUUGUUAAAAUUUUAUUUUGUUAAUUUUUUAUUUAUUGUUUUGUUUUAAGUAUUUUAUUGAAAUUUUUUAUUUAAUUAUUAUUUAUUUGUAAUUAUGAUGAAAUUAGNNNNNNNNNNNNNNNNNNUUUUAAUUGUUAAAAUUUUAAAAAGAACUAGGCAAAAUUUAUUCUCGCAUGUUUAUCAAAAACAUCUCUUCUUGUUUAAAAUAUGAAGUAUAACCUGCCCACUGAUUAAAAUUUUGAAGGGCCGCGGUAUUUUGACCGUGCAAAGGUAGCAUAAUCAUUAGUUCUUUAAUUGUGGACUGGAAUGAAUGGUUGGACGAAGAAUAGACUGUUUCUUAUUAUUUUAUUAUUGAAUUUAAUUUUUAAGUUAAAAAGCUUAAAUGUAUUUAUGGGACGAGAAGACCCUAUAGAGUUUAUAUAUAUUUAUUAAUUGAUUUUGUUUGAUUAUUUAUUUAUUAUUUAAUAUAUUUUGUUGGGGUGAUUGGAAGAAUUAAUUGACUCUUUUUUUUAUUAUACAUUUAUUUAUGAAUAGUUGAUCCAUUUUUGUUGAUUAUAAGAUUAAAUUACCUUAGGGAUAACAGCGUAAUCUUUUUUGAGAGUUCUUAUCGAUAAAUUGGUUUGCGACCUCGAUGUUGGAUUAAGAUUUAAUUUGGGUGUAGAAUUUCAAUUUGUUUAGGUCUGUUCGACCUUUAAAAUCUUACAUGAUCUGAGUUCAGACCGGCGGGAGCCAGGUUGGUUUCUAUCUAUAAUUAAUUUUAUAUCUUAGUACGAGAGGACCAGAUAUUUAAAAUAAUUUUUGUUUUAUGAUUAUUAUUAAUUUAUUUUGAUUACUAUUUUGGCAGAUAAGUGCAAUGGAUUUAGAAUCUUUUAAUAUAGAUUU
RNAcentral lists this ribosomal RNA (1367 nucleotides) under Blatta orientalis (oriental cockroach). RNAcentral's name for it is "16S ribosomal RNA". The stretch from base 1061 to 1221 matches the Rfam family "Archaeal large subunit ribosomal RNA", at positions 2542 to 2701 of the family's 2987-position model. Lineage: Eukaryota; Metazoa; Arthropoda; Insecta; Blattodea; Blattidae. The record is from RNAcentral.